UCGAGCCGGAUGCGGGGACAACUCGCACGUCCGGUUCUACGGGGGCCCCUAUUCCGAAAGGAAUGGGGGCUACCCUAC
Molecule: non-coding RNA, 78 nt
Filed under: Paraburkholderia tropica
Lineage: Bacteria; Pseudomonadati; Pseudomonadota; Betaproteobacteria; Burkholderiales; Burkholderiaceae
Source: RNAcentral